RNAcentral lists this ribosomal RNA (253 nucleotides) under uncultured bacterium. RNAcentral describes it as "partial 16S ribosomal RNA". It matches the Rfam family "Bacterial small subunit ribosomal RNA", at positions 524 to 776 of the family's 1533-position model. The record is from RNAcentral.
UACGUAGGGUCCGAGCGUUGUCCGGAAUUACUGGGCGUAAAGAGCUCGUAGGUGGUUUGUCGCGUUGUUCGUGAAAACUCACAGCUCAACUGUGGGCGUGCGGGCGAUACGGGCAGACUGGAGUACUGCAGGGGAGACUGGAAUUCCUGGUGUAGCGGUGGAAUGCGCAGAUAUCAGGAGGAACACCGGUGGCGAAGGCGGGUCUCUGGGCAGUAACUGACGAUGAGGAGCGAAAGCGUGGGGAGCGAACAGG